Phragmites australis (common reed) is the source of this 923-nucleotide long non-coding RNA. RefSeq lists it as uncharacterized. Lineage: Eukaryota; Viridiplantae; Streptophyta; Magnoliopsida; Poales; Poaceae. The record is from RefSeq and is a predicted model, not a curated record. The transcript is spliced from 4 exons.
UCACUAUGAAGUGAAUUGCUUUAAUGAUGUUCUUGACUGGAUACUUCAAGAGCUUGACAGCCGCUUCAAUGAGACUAGCUCUCAAUUGCUUGUUUGCUCGGCCGCUUUCAAUCCAAGAGACUCAUUUUAUGAUUUCAAUGUAGAGAAUUUGAUGAGCCUAGCAAAACUGUAUCCUAAUGAUUUUAAUUUUGGAGAUUUGAGGGAUCUUAGCCAUCAACUUUGCCUCUACAUCGUUGAUGUACGAGAAGAUGACAGAUUCUCCAACAUACAAACUAUUGUUGAACUUUCUCAAAAAAUGGUAGAGACAAGGAAGUAUCUUUGUUAUCACUUGGUUUAUCGACUUUUGAAGCUUGUACUAGUAUUGCCUGUCGCUACUGCUACAGUUGAGAGGUGUUUUUCAGCUAUGAAGAUUGUGAAAACUUAUUUGCGCAAUCGCAUCGGUGAUGAAUACUUGAGUCAUAGCCUUAUUUGUUAUGUGGAGAAAGAAGAGAUGAGGAAAGUUACCAACGAGGUUGUGGUUCGUCGUUUCAUGAAAAUGAGUGGACGUAGAUACGACGAUUAAAAGGCUGUCGAGGAUCUUGAGGUCGGAUGAUAUAUUUUGCCGAUACCGACCAUCUUUUGUUCAUUACUAUACUAACUCAGUAACCAAUAUCAGUUCUAUCAGCAUCACUGAUGUCUGGGAACCAAUAGAAGAAGGCCUUGUCCCAUUGGAGAUGACUAGGCAUGUUUCGAUGAUUUCAAUUACUUUGUCUCCCAAAGAGCUGGACAAGAACACUCCUGGGUACCAAGCUCCAGACUAUAUUCAACAGCCCAGGCAACAGCAGCACCUCUAGCAGGCGCCACCACUGCAGCUCCAACCUCGCCGACCACCAGGCCAAUACCAGCAGCUUGAUUAUGAAGGUACAACAGUAAAAGUUCUCAAU